GAUGAACGCUGGCGGCGUGCCUAAUACAUGCAAGUCGAGCGAACGGACGAGAAGCUUGCUUCUCUGAUGUUAGCGGCGGACGGGUGAGUAACACGUGGAUAACCUACCUAUAAGACUGGGAUAACUUCGGGAAACCUGAUCUAAUACCGGAUAAUAGUUUGAACCGCAUGGUUCAAAAGUGAAAGACGGUCUUGCUGUCACUUAUAGAUGGAUCCGCGCUGCAUUAGCUAGUUGGUAAGGUAACGGCUUACCAAGGCAACGAUGCAUAGCCGACCUGAGAGGGUGAUCGGCCACACUGGAACUGAGACACGGUCCAGACUCCUACGGGAGGCAGCAGUAGGGAAUCUUCCGCAAUGGGCGAAAGCCUGACGGAGCAACGCCGCGUGAGUGAUGAAGGUCUUCGGAUCGUAAAACUCUGUUAUUAGGGAAGAACAUAUGUGUAAGUAACUGUGCACAUCUUGACGUUACCUAAUCAGAAAGCCACGGCUAACUACGUG
RNAcentral lists this ribosomal RNA (497 nucleotides) under uncultured bacterium. RNAcentral describes it as "partial 16S ribosomal RNA". It matches the Rfam family "Bacterial small subunit ribosomal RNA", at positions 28 to 507 of the family's 1533-position model. The record is from RNAcentral.